RNAcentral lists this ribosomal RNA (509 nucleotides) under uncultured bacterium. RNAcentral's name for it is "partial 16S ribosomal RNA". It matches the Rfam family "Bacterial small subunit ribosomal RNA", at positions 29 to 523 of the family's 1533-position model. The record is from RNAcentral.
AUUGAACGCUGGCGGCAUGCCUUACACAUGCAAGUCGAACGGCAGCGGGGGAGAAGCUUGCUUUUCCUGCCGGCGAGUGGCGAACGGGUGAGUAAUACAUCGGAACGUGCCCUGUAGUGGGGGAUAACUAGUCGAAAGAUUAGCUAACACCGCGUACGACCUGAGGGUGAAAGUGGGGGACGGCAAGGCCUCAUGCUAUAGGAGCGGCCGAGGGCUGAGUUAGCUAGUUGGGGGGGUAAAGGCCUACUAAGGCGAGAAUCAGUAGCUGGUCUGGGGGGACGAUAAGCCGCCCUGGAAUUGAAACACGGCCCAGACUCCAACGGGAGGCAGGAGUGGGGAAUUUUGGACAAGGGGCGAAGGCCUGAUCCAGCAAUGCCGCGUGCAGGAAGAAGGCCUUCGGGUUGUAAACUGCUUUUGUACGGAGCGAAAAGGCUCUCUCUAAUACAGGGGGCUCAUGACGGUACCGUAAGAAUAAGCACCGGCUAACUACGUGCCAGCCGCCGCCGUAA